This 465-nucleotide ribosomal RNA is filed under the name uncultured bacterium. RNAcentral describes it as "partial 16S ribosomal RNA". It matches the Rfam family "Bacterial small subunit ribosomal RNA", at positions 338 to 795 of the family's 1533-position model. The record is from RNAcentral.
CCUACGGGAGGCAGCAGUGGGGAAUAUUGCGCAAUGGGCGAAAGCCUGACGCAGCGACGCCGCGUGAGGGAUGAAGGUCUUCGGAUCGUAAACCUCUGUCAGCAGGGAAGAACGGUCACUGUGCUAAUCAGCAGUGAAUUGACGGUACCUGCAAAGGAAGCACCGGCUAACUCCGUGCCAGCAGCCGCGGUAAUACGGAGGGUGCGAGCGUUAAUCGGAAUUACUGGGCGUAAAGCGCUCGUAGGCGGUAUGUCAAGUCAAGGGUGAAAUCCCCGCGCUCAACGUGGGAACUGCCUUUGAUACUGGCAAACUGGAGUGUGUGAGAGGAUAGUGGAAUUCCAGGUGUAGGAGUGAAAUCCGUAGAUAUCUGGAGGAACAUCAGUGGCGAAGGCGACUAUCUGGAACAUAACUGACGCUGAGGAGCGAAAGCGUGGGUAGCAAACAGGAUUAGAUACCCCAGUAGUC